AAUACAGUGACUUCAUUCUAACUGAAAGCAAAAAUGAAUUUAAGGUGAAUCGUCAGGUCACUGGUAACAAGUAGUGCACAGACUGGAGCAAGAACAUGGAAUAGCAUUGUCUUAUGUGAUACUGUGACCUCAAGAGAGAAGAUGUCUGCAUCACUGGGUGACUGAAUGAAACAGAACUCUACCAACCCACAAUCAGACUGUAAGAGAAGUGAGAAAUAAACUUGACAAAUAAAGCUAAUAAUUUAUCCUGACACAGUUUCAUGAAUACUGGAAGAAGACAUGAGAUUCAUGGAUCAGAGACAAGCAGGUGUUGACAGCCUAAGAAGGAAACUGAUUCUAUCCCUUUGCUAUAGCAAAGUUAUAGCUUAACUUCGCUUUAAAUUUGAGAAACCUGUGGUGAUUGCAUGACCAAGGCCAAUAUAUAAAACCCAGGUUUCUAAGAUCUAAUGCAAGACUGAGCUGAACAAGAAAGUGGGGAGCAUCAUUUCAGCACAGGCAACACUUUCCUUCUCUUGUGGAAACCUAAAUUAGAAAUCAAAUGAAGAGAUGUUGAAAUUGAAAACUAGGACUCUGCUGCAAAUUUCUUUCUUCAAAUGAUAAAGGGAGCCUGCUGACACAUUGAUAUGAAAUUGUUAACAUACUUAAAUCGAUUUCCUCUGUAAUUUUUUUUUUUUAUAUUUUGGUUGUAGAUGAAGUUUUUCUGUGGAGAUUUUAUGUGCUGUAAUUUAUAUCUGGUAAUUUCGGGUGCAGAUACAACAAAAAAUCGACUAUGCUAGAUCUAGAUUCCCAAAGCUAUUAUAUCUAAUUUUCACAGACCCUUUUCUCACUCAUUAGGCAAAAUGGCCACCACAAUUAAAUUUAAGCUUAUAGAAGAUGGAUAUAUAAUUAAUGGCAACAUUACUCAAUUCAGCAUUCUUCAUUUUAUCAGAGAAUAAACUGAGACACAGAUGAUCUGUAUAAUUUGCCCAAGGUCUCAGAGGAAGUGAGGACAAGAAAAGAAAAGAUACACACAUAUAUAUAUAUGUAACUUCCUGAAUCAGUAGAUUAUGUCAUUUAUUACAUAAAGGACUCUUUUUACCUGCAAUUUUACAUUAAUUUAUCAAGAAAAUCGAGAUAUUUUUAUUUUCUUUUCAUGUCUUCAUUCAUCUAUUAUGUACACACCUAACAAAUAUUAAUUUAUAAACUUCUACAUGCACUCUUAUAGUAAAGCCUUAUCACUAAAUAGCUAAAAUUUAGCAAUGUGUUAUAUGUUUUCAUUUAUGCAUGAAGUUUUAACAUCAAUUCCUAAAUAUUUAUAUAAUAUAUAAUACCUAUUUGGGAAUAAACACUAUUCAAGGCACUGUAUAUAGAAGUGAACCAACUAACCAAUGAGUUGCCUCCAUCAGGAAACAUAUUCCAGGGAGGAGCAUCAUACAGUGAACACAUAGAAAUGCUAAUUUUGUAGUGUAACAAUUAUGGUAGGAAAAAAUAGGGUAGGAAUGUUACCUUAGAUGCAAUGGUGAUAAAAGGUCUCUCUAUCAGGAGGGAACUUUCUAACAGAAAUAUAAAUGUUGAAAAGAAAACAGCCAUGUGAGGAGUCAGAAAGCAAAGACCUCGGGAAGGCCCUCCAAACUCUAAGCCCCAAAAGGAGCAAAUGAAAAGGUCAGAGCUGCUGUAGUUAAAACUGCAGAUGUCAUGUGCACUUAAUUCAGGGCUGGAUGAGUUCAUCUGAGGAAGUGAAGAGGGGUAAGGCCAAAGCCUCCAAAACCCAGUGGUUGUUACUGGAGGAUCUACUGGCAAAAGCCAGAGAGCAGAAAUUAUAGCAGCCAUGUGUGGGAAGCCAAGAGAGAAAAGAGUUUCUUUACAUUGUGUUCUUUAUAAUAAUUAACAACUUAUAUUGCAGAAUUUCAACUAAUUGCAAAACAAGUGAAGAAAAUAGUCAUUCAAAGAACAAAGUUGAAUUUUAACAUUACUUUAGAAUAAAGAGAAAGCAAUAAGAUAAAACAUAGAGGAAACGAAUUAUGCAUUAAUGAAUGGAAGUAUUGUACUCAUAUGAAUAAAUAAAAAUUUAUUCCUACUAAUGUAGUUUAAUAGCAAAGUAAUAAAAUAACAAAGAUUUAUUUCAAACAGAUUAUCCAUUGUUGUGUUGUUCACUCAAGGAAAAUAAAGUUAGCGGCAGUUUAGAGGUCUAGAAAAGUCAGAUUUCUGUGUUCUUGCAUUUCAACACAACUAUUCUGUGACAAGAAUAAAUUAAUUUGGUGCUUCAAAUCCACACUAUUAAAUUCAACUAUUGUGCUCUGACAUUCGUUAGCCUCCAUUAACACGUUAAAAUAGACUUGUUAUAUAAUUUUCUAAAUUAUUUUAACAGAGACAAAAAGUCAUGUAAUUCACUUGGGGAUGAGAAGUAUUAAGGACCAAGUUCCUUCAUUAGUGUAUUACUUCAGUGAGGCCAUGUGACGCUAUAAAAUGUCAGAAGAAAUUUCUUUUGUGGACUGAGAAGCUGGUUAACAUGAAGUUUAGGGAUUGGUAGUUGUAGGGAACAGUAUUGAAGUGGGAUACACAAUAGAAACAAUUAUGUGAUUCUUGUCUCAGAAUUACCUUCUAAAAAUAGGGACCUCAGUGGUAUCAAUUAUGUUACAAGAUUGAAUGAUUUAAUUUGCAUAAAAUACAAAUGUGUCUGUGAAUGUAAAUGUAAUAUAAUGGUAUAUUAGUGCUCUUUUUUUACUAGUUUAACAGUUGUAUCUUAAGGUAGGUCGAAUACUGGAAUUCAAACAAGCUUGGAACUAAAUUAGAUAGUAACAGAUCUUUUAGCCACCUCAGAGGGUGGCUAAUAUGUAAUGAACCCCAAAGAUAAUCACAGCAUUUCUUGGAAUCUAGGACUAAUACAUGAUAAUUCACUAAUGUGGCACCUCACAUAAUGCUUCCAACAUUUAACAAUGAUAGCGGCUAGGCGCAGUGGUUCACGCCUGUAAUCCCAGCAAUUUGGGAGGCUGACGUGGGUGAAUCACGAAGUCAAGAGAUUGAGACCAUCCUGGCCAACAUGGUGAAACCUUGUCUCUACUAAAAAUACAAAAAUUAGCUGGGCAUGGUGGCACAUGCCUGUAGUCACAGCUCUCGGGAGGCUGAUGCAGGAGAAUUGCUUGAACACAGGAGGCGGAGGUUGCAGGGAGCCGAGAUGGUGCCACUGCACUCCAGCCUGGCAACAGAGCGAGUCUCCAUUUCAAAAAAAAAAAAUAAUAAUAAUUGUCUAAUCAUUUAAUAAGUACUCAAUAGUUGGUAAGGCUGAUGAUGGUUAGAGAAAGGCAGGAAGAGGGCGAUUAGAUAGUGUAGGAUGGGAGUGCAGGACCAGGAGACAGGGAGACAGAAGAAAAAAAUCUCCAAUGACUUCUUCAAAUAUCAUCCACCAUAAGAAAAUACUUCAGUGAACCCAAACAAAAAAGUCUCGUUUCAUUUCAAAUCUAUUCACCUGAUCUUUUAAGGACCACUUUCCCUCAGCAUCUUUUAAAUUAUGAAUUACACAUUGUGUAAAAUUUCUGUAACAAAUUUGGUUUGUGACUGACUAAAUUUAUAAUUAUAUGAAAGCAAAAAAAAGUACCUAAAUCUAAAAGUCAUGUUUGACAUUUAUUUUCUGCUAAACACUUUGAAACAAACUAUGCAAAAUGAAUUUCUAAUAUGGUUUAAUUAUAUACAUCAUUGAUGAAAUCAUGUUAUGUUUAUUUUAUUUUGAAUCACUAUAUAUUACAUUUCCAAAUACUUUUUACGUUUGAAGAUAUACAAUUUCUGAGGGUUUAAAUAACAAAAACAAUAAGCUUAGAAUAGAUUAUUUCUAUUUAAAAUACUUUCUUUUACAAUUUAUUUAAUCUCCCUAAAGUAGGGGGUUCAUAGUGCAGUUUUAUCUUGGACAGUUCUAAACUCUUCUGUCAUAUUUUGAAACUCUUGUUUAAUAAUUAUUGUAUUUCAGAAUUACAAAAAACAAACUGAUAUAAUUGGUAUGAAUGCUAAAGCUUAUGUUUCUGUAUGAAUUCAGAUAAAAUUUUCAAUGUUGUUCUAGUAUGAACCAAAUACCUGAUGUUUAACAAUUGAAUGAUUCUGAGAAGAUAAGUUGAGCUCCUUGAAUCUGUUUCCUUAUUUUCAAAAUAAGAUUAAUAAAACUUCCUUCAUUUUAAAUAAA
Molecule: long non-coding RNA, 4150 nt
Organism: Symphalangus syndactylus (siamang)
Lineage: Eukaryota; Metazoa; Chordata; Mammalia; Primates; Hylobatidae
Source: RefSeq, a predicted model, not a curated record